RNAcentral lists this long non-coding RNA (1262 nucleotides) under Vigna radiata. Its description in RNAcentral is "long non-coding RNA (VRAD_LNC005619)". The record is from RNAcentral. Lineage: Eukaryota; Viridiplantae; Streptophyta; Magnoliopsida; Fabales; Fabaceae.
AUUAAUACUUCCAUCUCUCUUUAUAAUUUAAUUUCAUUAAUUAAUACCAAUAAUUACUUAAUUCAAUUUUUCAUUAAUAAAAUUUAUUUUACAUUCUCUUCAUCUUAUUUUUGGUUUUGGGUCUGUGAAAAAGUCACCUCCAGCCGCUCAAGGUCAAGUCCAGGCCUAGAGGCCCAAUUAUUUCUAACCACAGUCCAGACCAGAACCCAAUGUUGCUGGUUUAGAGGCCUAACCGAGGCCCAACUCUAAUUGCCACCCUGAGCCUUAGGCCGCAACUCACCACUACCACCCAUGGUUGCUCCGCUGGUGCAACCACCACCGUCACCACAGACCGGAACCCUAACACGUAGAAACCGACCAUAAAACAUAGCAGCUUGAUCGCGAGAUCAAAUCCCAAAGACGCAACAGCACAGAUUCAAAAGAAUUCAAAACUUUCAAGAUCAGAGACGCAAAAACAAAAACAAAAUCCCCAUUUGAAUACCUAACUCCCAAUUUGCAAGAGCAGAUUUCUAAAUCCCGAAUGAGAGUUCCCAAAUCUGAAAAUCCUAAUUUCAAGAUGGAAAAACAAACACAGAAAGUCCCAAAAAACCUCCAAACAAAUAUGCGACCAGAUCAAGAUCACAAAAUUUCCAAACCAGAAUUCUAACUCUCAAAAUGCAAAUGGGAAACAAGAACAAGAGCUCUCAAAACACAAAUUUAGAAACAAGAAUAAAGCACCUAAAAGAGAAUUCUUGAAUAAGAUCAGAAAUUCCCAAAACGCAACAGAGUCUCCUUCCUCGUGACUCAACCCAAAAUCACAAAAUCAGAAACCUCAAAAUCCCCAAAUUGAAACCCUAACGCGAACGCCAUGCACCGCGAGAACGCUAUCUCCUCUUACAUCGCAAGUAAGAACAAGAAAGGGGAAAGGAGAAGGUCCAUCCGCACAACGAAGGACCUUGGAAGUCCAUCGCGAGCGGCCAUCGAAGGCGAGAAUACGCCUGAGUCGCGCCUCCCACGGUGUCGUCAUUCUCGCUGCCAUGAGGUCAUUACCUCUGCUCAAGACUCAGAACGUUCUCACCCCAAGACCGGGUGAUCCGCGAUAAGAAAAGAGUAAGAAGCUUGAAGCUUCUUGUUGCUCGCGUUAUAUGAAUCUGAGAAGGAAUUCAGAAAGAAUUUCCCUUGUGCGACGUGGGGUCUUCCCCUGGUUCGUUUAUGAAUCCAAUUUCAGACCCUUGUUUAGGGUCUCAAACUCAAUGCCCCCAUUAGGAAUUCAGAAACCAAAA